UACGUAGGGUGCAAGCGUUGUCCGGAACUAUUGGGCGUAAAGAGCUCGUAGGCGGUCUGUCGCGUCUGGUGUGAAAAUCCAGGGCUUAACCCUGGACCUGCAUCGGGUACGGGCAGACUAGAGUGCGGUAGGGGAGAUCGGAAUUCCUGGUGUAGCGGUGAAAUGCGCAGAUAUCAGGAGGAACACCGGUGGCGAAGGCGGAUCUCUGGGCCGUAACUGACGCUGAGGAGCGAAAGCAUGGGGAGCGAACAGG
Molecule: ribosomal RNA, 253 nt
Filed under: uncultured bacterium
Lineage: Bacteria
Description: partial 16S ribosomal RNA
Rfam family: Bacterial small subunit ribosomal RNA
Source: RNAcentral